Molecule: ribosomal RNA, 101 nt
Filed under: Trichoderma asperellum
Lineage: Eukaryota; Fungi; Ascomycota; Sordariomycetes; Hypocreales; Hypocreaceae
Also listed under: 1 other name
Description: 5.8S ribosomal RNA
Rfam family: 5.8S ribosomal RNA (bases 14-101)
About the family: 5.8S ribosomal RNA (5.8S rRNA) is a component of the large subunit of the eukaryotic ribosome. It is transcribed by RNA polymerase I as part of the 45S precursor that also contains 18S and 28S rRNA.
Source: RNAcentral
CAAAAUGAAUCAAAACUUUCAACAACGGAUCUCUUGGUUCUGGCAUCGAUGAAGAACGCAGCGAAAUGCGAUAAGUAAUGUGAAUUGCAGAAUUCAGUGAA